GACGAACGCUGGCGGUGUGCUUAACACAUGCAAGUCGAACGGUAAGGCCCUUUCGUGGUUCCACGAGUGGCGAACGGGUGUGUAACACGUGCGUAACCUUCCCUCAUCUCUUUGAUAACAGUCGUUUACGGUUGCUAAUACUUGAUAUGAGCUUUCAAGGCAUCUUGUGGGUUGGAAAGAUUUUUUUUGGUUGGGGUUGGACUCGCGGCCUAUCAGCUUGUUGGUGAGGUAGUGGCUCACCAAGGCUUAGACGGGUAGCCGGCCUGAGAGGGCGACCGGACACAUAGGGACAGAGAGAAGGCGCAAAGUCCUAAGGGAGGCAGAAGUGGGGAAUAUUGAACAAUGGAGGGAAGACUGAGGGAGGAAGGCCGCGGGAGGGAUGACGGCGGUAGGGGUGGAAACAGAGAAAAAGUGUGAAGAAGAGUGGUUGUGACGGUAGCAGGAGAAGAAGCACCGGCUAACUACGUG
RNAcentral lists this ribosomal RNA (468 nucleotides) under uncultured bacterium. RNAcentral describes it as "partial 16S ribosomal RNA". It matches the Rfam family "Bacterial small subunit ribosomal RNA", at positions 28 to 507 of the family's 1533-position model. The record is from RNAcentral.